Strigops habroptila (Kakapo) is the source of this 1596-nucleotide long non-coding RNA. RefSeq lists it as uncharacterized. The transcript has 2 exons. The record is from RefSeq and is a predicted model, not a curated record. NCBI's taxonomy places the organism in Eukaryota, Metazoa, Chordata, Aves, Psittaciformes, Psittacidae.
GCCCGCACCGGGCGUGGCGGACGCCGUGCGGGUGCUGCUGCGGUCCGCGCCCCCGAGCCGGGCCCCGCGGCCGCCGGCGGAGGGCUCGGUGCCCCCAGGGCGGCCGGGGCUCCGCACCCUGUCCUGCCCGGCAGCCGGUGCGCCGCGGGCGAGCCUGGCCGCUUCGCUUCCCGGGGCGGCACAAGCGGCUGCUCCGUCUGCAGCUGUUGCGGUCGGAGCGAAUCCGUGCGGGACAGUCCCCGCCAGGCUGUGCCAGUCCCAAGGACGCUGCUGCGAUCACUUGCCUGCUCAUACACCCGGUAACCAGCCAGCAGCAAGGAGUCUGGUGCUGCCUUGAGGCAUGAAGUCUUACUGGAGUUAAUGACAGAUGGAAGGAAGGAAGGAAAACUGCAUGCCCCGGAGUUAUGAGAUAAAGACAAUUAAAGAAGUUCUACAAGAAUAUGAAGGUUAGCAGGCUUAAGCUGCAUGCUGAGAGAGAGCCCGGUUCUCCAUCGUUACAAGGAGCUUCAAGCUGGCAGUGGUGAUUCUCGGAGUCAGAAGUGUUGGGUUAAGAUCAGACAGUUGUUAUCAUAUCCGACCAUCUGCCUUAUUCCUCUGUCAGACACUGCCCCUAGUGGCAUGGAAAACUGGUGCGGUUCAGCAUUUCAACUCCUGCAAUUAAAUCUGAUAGAUUAAAACUUGUUUCUACCAUCAUGUAUAAAGAUAAAAAACAUGAUGGCACUGUCUUUCUGCACUGCUGACUUCCUCAGGAUGCUGAUGUGAGAAAAUCAGAGUAAGCUUCUGACACAUGGGUAAGUUUCAAGUAGUAAGAAACAGACGGUUUGAGAUUUGUCAACCCCGCACUAGACUUCAGAAUUGCCAGAUUGCCGUACUUCAUUUUUUGCCCGUGAACUUCUUCUGGAGAGAGAGAUAUUCAUUCACAGAUGGCAAAUCCAUGCAGGAUAGCAUAAGUAUGCUUUGAGGAUAACUGCUUACCAGCCUAGCCCAAACUCAAGGUUUCCCAAAACCAAAGCAUGCAGCUCACACCACCUAUUAAAGUCAGCUUAAUGUAACUGUCAAUGUCCCUACCGGAGUGGCACAAAUCUCUUGUAAUAGACAAUAUACCACAUUUCACUAAUACUUUCUAAUUAUGAGUAAUGAGACAAGGAAGUACAAAUCUUUUGUAAACAGUUAAAUUCAGUUAGGCUUUGUGGCCUUGCACUAGAUGACAUUGGAAAAGCAGGCUAUUGUAAUAGAUGACAGUGAGGAAGUAUCUUGGGUAAAUGUUUCACAAUAACCAGCCAGAGCUGGACUAGUGGUUGCUGACAUGACAACGGGACUUUCCAAACCUAAAGUUCAACUAGAGGACGAAGUGAUGAAGACAAAGAUGAUGAAGAAACAAGCACCAAGGGUCCCAAAAGACCACUACCACGUUAUUGUGCGCAUGCGGAAAUGGGUGCAGAUCUAUGUAAAGCGGUUCUUGGAAAUGCAAUGAAUAUGUAUGUUAACCAACAAUAUAAACACAGUCUGUUUAACGCUCAGGUGGGACACAUUAGGAGGAAAGAUCCCCUGUGUCUCCCAGAGCUGCAAUAAAGAAUACCUGCUUGUCAACUUAAA